UGGGGAAUAUUGGGCAAUGGGCGCAAGCCUGACCCAGCGACGCCGCGUGAGGGAAGAAGGCCCUUGGGUCGUAAACCUUUGUUGUAUGGGAAGAAGGACGUGACGGUACCAUACGAGGAAGUCCCGGCUAACUACGUGCCAGCAGCCGCGGUAAUACGUAGGGGACGAGCGUUGUCCGGAAUUACUGGGCGUAAAGGGCGCGCAGGCGGAUAUUUAAGUCAGCUGGUAAAGUCAUGGGCUCAACUCAUGGAUGCGGUUGAAACUGGAUAUCUCGAGUGCUGGAGAGGUAGGCGGAAUUACCGGUGUAGCGGUGAAAUGCGUAGAUAUCGGGAAGAACACCAGUGGCGAAGGCGGCUUACUGGCCAGCAACUGACGCUGAGGCGCGAAAGCCAGGGGAGCGAACGGGA
RNAcentral lists this ribosomal RNA (407 nucleotides) under uncultured bacterium. RNAcentral describes it as "bacterial SSU rRNA". It matches the Rfam family "Bacterial small subunit ribosomal RNA", at positions 355 to 777 of the family's 1533-position model. The record is from RNAcentral.